UACAUGGGGGGCAAGCGUUGUUCGGAAUUAUUGGGCGUAAAGGGCGCGUAGGCGGCUUUUCAAGUGACGGGUGAAAUCCCUCGGCUUAACCGAGGAACUGCCUGUCAGACUGGAAGGCUUGAGACCGGGAGAGGUGAGUGGAAUUCCCAGUGUAGCGGUGAAAUGCGUAGAUAUUGGGAGGAACACCAGUGGCGAAGGCGGCGCACUGGACCGGAACUGACGCUGAGGCGCGAAAGCGUGGGGAGCAAACAGG
Molecule: ribosomal RNA, 253 nt
Filed under: uncultured bacterium
Lineage: Bacteria
Description: partial 16S ribosomal RNA
Rfam family: Bacterial small subunit ribosomal RNA
Source: RNAcentral